Molecule: ribosomal RNA, 406 nt
Filed under: uncultured bacterium
Lineage: Bacteria
Description: partial 16S ribosomal RNA
Rfam family: Bacterial small subunit ribosomal RNA
Source: RNAcentral
GAUGAACGCUGACGGAAGGCUUAACACAUCAGCAAGUGAUUGGUGGCGGACGGGUGAGUAAGGCGUAAAGAACUUGCGGCACAGCUGGGGACAACAUUGGGAAAGGAAUGAUAAUACCUAAUCCUGUGAGAGAGCUGUGCGUCCCAUUAGCUAGUGGGAGAGGUAACGGCUCACCAAGGCGAUGAUGGGUAGCCGGACUGAGAGGGUGAUCGGGCCCAAAGGGACUGGGACACGGCCAUUACUGCUACUGGAGGCAGCGGUGUGUAACAUUGCACGAUAGACCAAAGUCUGAUCAAGCAAUUCUGUGUGCACGAUGAAGUUGUCGGAAUGUAAAGCGCUUUGAGUUUGGAAUCGGUACCAACAGAAGAAGUGCCGGCUAAAUACGUGCCAGCAGCCGCGGUAAUAC